UGCCAGCCGCCGCGGUAAUACGGAGGGGGUUAGCGUUGUUCGGAAUUACUGGGCGUAAAGCGCACGUAGGCGGAUUAGAAAGUUAGAGGUGAAAUCCCGGGGCUCAACCCCGGAACUGCCUUUAAAACUACUAGUCUAGAGUUCGAGAGAGGUGAGUGGAAUUCCGAGUGUAGAGGUGAAAUUCGUAGAUAUUCGGAGGAACACCAGUGGCGAAGGCGGCUCACUGGGUCUGUAUUGACGCUGAGGUGCGAAAGCGUGGGGAGCGAAGAGGAUUAGAUA
This 279-nucleotide ribosomal RNA is filed under the name uncultured bacterium. Its description in RNAcentral is "partial 16S ribosomal RNA". It matches the Rfam family "Bacterial small subunit ribosomal RNA", at positions 506 to 784 of the family's 1533-position model. The record is from RNAcentral.